AUCGGGACAGGGAGAGGGAGAGACACGGAGCUGAAUUCUCCGGCAAGUAGCUGCGAUCGGCUUCAGAGAGUGAGCUCAGAGCCGGUGUGUGGGAGCGUCGCUGGGAGAAAGGAGCGGACAGAAUUCACAAAUCUCGGAUAGAGGUACUCAUGGAGUUCCUGACUCAAUAGACUUGCCAACUGCUGGUUGGGACGAUGGUUGGUCAGCCGGAAAGACACAGUCAGGGAGGUCGGAGUCUUCAAUCAAUCCUGCUGCCAGGUACAAUGGUGAUCCUGUAAGAGACCAGUGCGGAAUGGGAUGUUAUAAAUCUCAGCUGAGGCUUGCGGCCUACCAUUACCUGGGAGUCACUAAGGGAGAGAAUCUGAGAGAGAGCAGCACAAAGCGGGAGAAUAUAAAUCAGCAGCGAGGGUCAAGGCCGACUGGGACUUGGAUCUGGAGAAACAGCAGAGCAGGAGGCUCGAAAUCAGCACCGAGUCACAGAGGGAGUGACCGUGUGAGGGAGCAACUUGGAGCAGGAGCUUGAGGCUGACUCACACCUGGGAGAAUAUAAAUCAGCACUGAGGAUCGAGGCCUAGCUGUACCUGGGAGUGACAGAGACGGUGACCCUGUGAGGGA
Molecule: long non-coding RNA, 615 nt
Organism: Hemiscyllium ocellatum (epaulette shark)
Lineage: Eukaryota; Metazoa; Chordata; Chondrichthyes; Orectolobiformes; Hemiscylliidae
Exons: 3
Source: RefSeq, a predicted model, not a curated record